RNAcentral lists this ribosomal RNA (928 nucleotides) under Maculiphylus eremophilae. RNAcentral describes it as "partial large subunit ribosomal RNA". It matches the Rfam family "Eukaryotic large subunit ribosomal RNA", at positions 1067 to 1904 of the family's 3401-position model. The record is from RNAcentral. Lineage: Eukaryota; Metazoa; Arthropoda; Insecta; Hemiptera; Miridae.
AAAUAGAUGAGAACUCCGGGUUUCCUUGAAACUAACGUUUUUGAAGCCGGGGGCUCGGGAUCAGAGUGCCAAGUGGGCCAAUUUUGGUAAGCAGAACUGGCGCUGUGGGAUGAACCAAACGUCGAGUUAAGGCGCCUAAAUCGUCGCUCAUGUGAAACCAUGAAAGGCGUUGGUUGCUUAAGACAGCAGGACGGUGGCCAUGGAAGUCGGAAUCCGCUAAGGAGUGUGUAACAACUCACCUGCCGAAGCAACUAGCCCUGAAAAUGGAUGGCGCUGUAGCGACGUUGCCUAUACUCGACCGUCAACGGCAAAGGUGGCUGGGCGGGCAACCGUCCGGCCGUUACGCCUUGACGAGUAGGAGGGCCGCGGCGACGUGCGCAGAAGGGUCUGGGCGCGAGCCUGCCUGGAGCCGUCGUCGGUGCAGAUCUUGGUGGUAGUAGCAAAUACUCCAGCGAGGCCCUGGAGGACUGAUGUGGAGAAGGGUUUCUUGUGAACAGCUGUUGCACAAGAGUCAGUCGGUCCUAAGCCCUAGGAGAAAUCCGAAGCGAUGGGUUGCCGUUAACCACUGUGUGAAGGCACCCGUUCGGGCGAAAGGGAAUCCGGUUCCUAUUCCGGAACCUGGCAGUGGAACCGUUCCAAUUCGGGCCCUCUGAGGACUCGUCAGGGCAACCUGAAUAGACCCGGAGACGCCGACAGGAGGUUGGGGGAGAGUUGUCUCUUCUCUAUAAGCGAUCGAGUUCCCUGGAAACUUCUAGCAAGGAGAUAGGGUUUGGAUCGCGAAGAGCACUGCAGUUACGGCAGUGUCCCAAUCUUCCUCUCGGACCUUGAAAAUCCGGGUGAGGGCCACGAGGAACCCCACGCCAGACCGUACCCAUAUCCGCAGCAGGUCUCCAAGGUGCAAAGCCUCUAGUCGAUAGAAUAUGAGGGG